AGCUUUGUGCAGUGGCAGUAUCGUAGCCAAUGAGGUUUAUCUAAGGCACGAUUCUUGCUAAUUGACAAG
Molecule: small nuclear RNA, 69 nt
Filed under: Rattus norvegicus (Norway rat)
Lineage: Eukaryota; Metazoa; Chordata; Mammalia; Rodentia; Muridae
Description: U4 spliceosomal RNA
Rfam family: U4 spliceosomal RNA
About the family: U4 small nuclear RNA (U4 snRNA) is a component of the major U2-dependent spliceosome.
Source: Rfam by way of RNAcentral